RNAcentral lists this ribosomal RNA (329 nucleotides) under uncultured soil bacterium. RNAcentral describes it as "bacterial SSU rRNA". It matches the Rfam family "Bacterial small subunit ribosomal RNA", at positions 26 to 352 of the family's 1533-position model. The record is from RNAcentral.
AGAUUGAACGCUGGCGGCAUGCCUUACACAUGCAAGUCGAACGGUAACGCGGGGCAACCUGGCGACGAGUGGCGAACGGGUGAGUAAUGCAUCGGAACGUGCCCAGUAGUGGGGGAUAGCCCGGCGAAAGCCGGAUUAAUACCGCAUACGACCUACGGGUGAAAGCGGGGGACUCGCAAGAGCCUCGCGCUAUUGGAGCGGCCGAUGUCAGAUUAGCUAGUUGGGUGGGUAAAACGCCUAACCAAGGCGACGAUCUGUAGCUGGUCUGAGAGGACGACCAGCCACACGUGGGACUGAGACCACGGCCCAGACUCCGUACGGGAGGCAGG